UACGUAGGGGGCAAGCGUUGUCCGGAAUCAUUGGGCGUAAAGCGCGUGUAGGCGGCCCGGUAAGUCCGCUGUGAAAGUCCAGGGCUCAACCCUGGAAUGCCGGUGGAUACUGUCGGGCUCGAGUCCGGAAGAGGCGAGUGGAAUUCCUGGUGUAGCGGUGAAAUGCGCAGAUAUCAGGAAGAACACCAACGGCGAAGGCAGCUCGCUAGGACGGUACUGACGCUGAGACGCGAAAGCGUGGGGAGCGAACAGG
This 253-nucleotide ribosomal RNA is filed under the name uncultured bacterium. Its description in RNAcentral is "partial 16S ribosomal RNA". It matches the Rfam family "Bacterial small subunit ribosomal RNA", at positions 524 to 776 of the family's 1533-position model. The record is from RNAcentral.